GGCUGGAUGGCCGAGCGGUCUAAGGCGGUAGACUCAAGUUCUACUCUCGAAAGAGGCGCGCGUUCGAAUCGCGCUCCAGUCA
This 82-nucleotide transfer RNA is filed under the name Thermochaetoides thermophila DSM 1495. RNAcentral describes it as "tRNA-Leu (CAA) (tRNA-Leu-CAA-1-1)". It matches the Rfam family "tRNA". From Rfam's summary of the family: Transfer RNA (tRNA) molecules are approximately 80 nucleotides in length. Lineage: Eukaryota; Fungi; Ascomycota; Sordariomycetes; Sordariales; Chaetomiaceae. The record is from RNAcentral.